This 962-nucleotide non-coding RNA is filed under the name Microglanis garavelloi. RNAcentral's name for it is "12S ribosomal RNA". It matches the Rfam family "Bacterial small subunit ribosomal RNA". Lineage: Eukaryota; Metazoa; Chordata; Actinopteri; Siluriformes; Pseudopimelodidae. The record is from RNAcentral.
CAAAGGUUUGGUCCUGAGUUUACUAUCAGCUUCAGCUCAAUUUAUACAUGCAAGUAUCCGCACCCCUGUGAGAAUGCCCUCAAUCCCCCAACCGGGGACAAGGAGCGGGCAUCAGGCACACCCACCCUGCUUAGCCCAAGACGCCUUGCUAUGCCACACCCCCAAGGGAACUCAGCAGUAAUAAAUAUUAAGCUAUAAGUGAAAACUUGACUUAGUUAGAGCUAAGAGGGUCGGUAAAAUUCGUGCCAGCCACCGCGGUUAUACGAAAGACCCUAGUUGAUAUUCACGGCGUAAAGGGUGGUUAAGGGAUAAAAUAAAUAAAGCUAAAGAGCCUCUAAGCCGUCGUACGCACUCCGAAAGCUCGAAACCCUAAAACGAAAGUAGCUUUAAAAUAUAAUUACCUGACCCCACGAAAGCUAAGAAACAAACUGGGAUUAGAUACCCCACUAUGCUUAGCCCUAAACCAAGAUGCAAACUUACACACGCAUCCGCCCGGGUACUACGAGCUCAGCUUAAAACCCAAAGGACUUGGCGGUGUCUCAGACCCACCUAGAGGAGCCUGUUCUAGAACCGAUAAACCCCGCUAAACCUCACCACUUCUUGUUUUUUCCCGCCUAUAUACCGCCGUCGUCAGCUUACCCCGUGAAGGCCUAGAAGUAAGCAAAAUUGAUACACCCAAAAACGCCAGGUCAAGGUGUAGCGAAUGAAGUGGGAAGAAAUGGGCUACAUUUUCUAUAAAACAGAACAUUACGGACGACACCCUGAAACAUAUGUCUGAAGGUGGAUUUAGUAGUAAAAAGAAAAUAGUGUGUCCUUUUGAAUUAGGCUCUGAGACGCGCACACACCGCCCGUCACUCUCCCCACCAAUAAUAACACCAAACAAUAUAUUCUAAAAACACAACCGAUCACGGGGAGGCAAGUCGUAACAUGGUAAGUGUACCGGAAGGUGCACUUGGAAUAAU